GUGACAGUCCCGUACAGGAAGCAUGAUUGGACGUAUUAAGUAGGGCGGGACACGUGUAAUCCUGUCUGAAGAUCGGAGGACCACCUUCGAAGGCUAAGUACUCCUUACUGACCGAUAGCGAACCAGUACCGUGAGGGAAAGGUGAAAAGCACCCCGACGAGGGGAGUGAAACAGUACCUGAAACCGAACGCCUACAAGCAGUCGGAGGGGCCUCGAGCCCUGACGGCGUACCUUUUGUAUAAUGGGUCAUCGACUUGGUCUCACGAGCAAGCUUAAGCCGAUAGGUGUAGGCGCAGCGAAAGCGAGUCUUAAUAGGGCGUCGAGUUCGUGAGAUCAGACCCGAAACCGAGUGAUCUAGGCAUGACCAGGAUGAAGGUAAGGUAACACUUACUGGAGGUCCGAACCCACACCUGUUGAAAAAGGUCGGGAUGAGUUGUGCCUAGGGGUGAAAGGCCAAUCAAACUCGGAGAUAGCUGGUUCUCCGCGAAAUCUAUUUAGGUAGAGCGUCAUCCGAAUACCCCGGGGGGUAGAGCACUGGAUGGGUAAUGGGGCCCCACAGGCUUACUGAUCCUAACCAAACUCCGAAUACCCGGGAGUACUAGAUGGCAGACACACGGCGGAUGCUAACGUCCGUCGUGGAGAGGGAAACAACCCUGACCUACAGCUAAGGCCCCCAAUUCGUGGCUAAGUGGGAAAGCAGGUGAGACGGCCAAAACAACCAGGAGGUUGGCUUAGAAGCAGCCAUCCUUUAAAGAUAGCGUAACAGCUCACUGGUCUAAUCAAGCUGUCUUGCGGCGAAGAUGUAACGGGGCUCAAGCCACGAGCCGAAGCUUAGGAGUGCGCAAGCACUGGUAGCGGAGCGUAGUGUGAUAAAACCCAUGCCUCUUCUGCACCCUCGGGUGCAUCGGAGGCCCGGGUUUGACUGUGAAGCCGGGGCGUGAGCCAUCCGGUGGAGUGAUCACUAGCGAGAAUGAUGACAUGAGUAGCGACAAACAGGGUGAGAGACCCUGUCGCCGAAAGUCCAAGGGUUCCUGCUUAAAGCUAAUCUGAGCAGGGUAAGCCGGCCCCUAAGGCGAGGCCGAAAGGCGUAGUCGAUGGGAACCAGGUUAAUAUUCCUGGGCCAGGAGGAUGUGACGGAUCGAAAGAGUUGUUCAGCCUUAUCGGAUUGGCUGGGCAGCCGGACGGUUCCCGGAAAUAGCCCUCCACCAGACCGUACCCUAAACCGACACAGGUGGACUGGUAGAGCAUACCAAGGCGCUUGAGAGAACGAUGUUGAAGGAACUCGGCAAAAUGCCUCCGUAAGUUCGCGAGAAGGAGGCCCGGUUCCUGGGCAACCAGGGGCCGGGGGCACAACCCAGGGGGUGGCGACUGUUUACUAAAAACACAGGGCUCUGCGAAGUCGCAAGACGACGUAUAGGGUCUGACGCCUGCCCGGUGCCGGAAGGUUAAAAGGAGGUGUGCAAGCACCGAAUUGAAGCCCCGGUAAACGGCGGCCGUAACUAUAACGGUCCUAAGGUAGCGAAAUUCCUUGUCGGGUAAGUUCCGACCUGCACGAAUGGCGUAACGACUUCCCCGCUGUCUCCAACAUCGACUCAGCGAAAUUGAAUUGCCUGUCAAGAUGCAGGCUACCCGCGGUUAGACGGAAAGACCCCGUGCACCUUUACUACAGCUUCACACUGGCAUCAGGCAUGUGAUGUGCAGGAUAGGUGGUAGGCUUCGAAGCCGGGACGCCAGUCUCGGUGGAGCCACCCUUGAGAUACCACCCUUCGCCUGCUUGAUGUCUAACCGCGGUCCGUCAUCCGGAUCCGGGACCCUGUGUGGCGGGUAGUUUGACUGGGGCGGUCGCCUCCUAAAGAGUAACGGAGGCGCGCGAAGGUUGGCUCAGAGCGGUCGGAAAUCGCUCGUUGAGUGCAAUGGCAGAAGCCAGCCUGACUGCGAGACUGACAAGUCGAGCAGA
This 1957-nucleotide ribosomal RNA is filed under the name marine metagenome. RNAcentral describes it as "bacterial LSU rRNA". It matches the Rfam family "Bacterial large subunit ribosomal RNA", at positions 364 to 2397 of the family's 2925-position model. The record is from RNAcentral.